GGGGAGAUGGCCGAGUGGUUGAAGGCGCACGCCUGGAACGCGUGUAGGGGUUAAUAGCCCCUCGUGGGUUCGAAUCCCACUCUCUCCGCCA
RNAcentral lists this transfer RNA (91 nucleotides) under Campylobacterota bacterium. RNAcentral describes it as "Epsilonproteobacteria bacterium (hydrothermal vent metagenome) tRNA-Ser". It matches the Rfam family "tRNA". Rfam says of the family: Transfer RNA (tRNA) molecules are approximately 80 nucleotides in length. Their secondary structure includes four short double-helical elements and three loops (D, anti-codon, and T loops). Lineage: Bacteria; Pseudomonadati; Campylobacterota. The record is from RNAcentral.